GUGACUGCCGGGGGGCAGGGGGGGCCUUGUGACUCCUUGGCGGGCCGGCUGGAAAAGUUUGAAAGUUGGAACCGGCCUGGGCCUAAAAAUGGGAAAUUUUUCCUGCAUUUCUCACGUUCAGCCUACUUAUUUUGCUCCGUUCCCUCCUGUUGCCAAGUCUCCUUUGGUCUUCUUUGUCUUGCUCAAGAGCCUGGUACUGAGGUGGAACUUUGCAAGUGUCUUAACAAGAUCUAAUAAGCUUGGAAACUGAAAGGGGAAAUGAGGAUAUUCCCUUCUGGCUGUAAUCAUGGUGUGAGGGAGGUGGAGACUCUACAAAGGAAGGCUCCUCAGCCUGGAGGUUUGCAGGUUUCUCCCUCAAAAGAUCCUGCUCCAUAGUACUGAGAAAACACAGUGGCCGUUGUGUGGGAGACCACCACAGCUGCCUCAAGGGAAGCCAACACAGUCAUAGUUCCUGAGCUCAUUGGGAUCGGAUGUUUACAGAAGUCUCCCACAGAAGAUGAACUUACCACCGUAAGUCACCAAAUAUCUAAGAAGUGCCUAUAGCAUGAGAGAAAAAAGGAAAUCGAACAAAUUAAAGGCCCUAUAUCAGAGAAAACAUAAUAGAACAAUCCAACGUUCAUUUCUGUAUCUUUAUUUGGGGCCGUGGUAGGCUGAAUAAUGGCACCCCAAAGUUAUCCAUGUCCUAAUCCUUGAGCUCUGUGAAUAUGUUACCUCACAUGGCAAGGUGGGUUCAAGGUUGCAGAUAGAGUUAAGGUUGCUAAUCAGGUGACCUUAAAAUAGGGAGAGUUUCUGAAAAGAAGACAGAAUGGGAGAAAAUAGUUGCAACCAAUGCAACCAAUAUGAAAUUAAUUUCUAAAAUAUAUAAACAGUUUAUACAGCUUAGUAUUUAAAAAAAAAAUCAAAACUGGGCAGAAGACCUAAAUAGACAUUUAUCCAAAGAAGACAUACAGAUGGCCAAAAGGUACCUGAAAAAAUGCUCAGCAUAGCUAAUUAUUAGAGAAAUGGAAAUCAAAACUACAGUAAGUUAUCCCCUCACACAGGUCAAAAUGGCCAUUAUCAAAAAGUCUACAAGUAAUAAAUGCUGGAGAGGGUGUGGAGAAAAGGGAAGCCUCGUACACUGUGGUGGGAAUGUAAGUUGUUGCAGCCACUAUAGAAAAUAGUACAGAGGUUCCUUAAAAAACUGAAAAUAGAGUUACAGUGCCACUCCUGGGUAUAUAUCCAAAAAAGGCGAAGACUCCAAUUUGAAAAGAUACAUGCACCUGAAUGUUCAUGGUACCGCUAUUCACAGUAGCCAAGACAUGGAAGCAACCUAGGUGUCCAUGAGAGAUGAAUGAAUCAAGAUGUGGUGUUCAUACACAAUGGAAUAUUACUGAGUCAUAAAAAAUGAAUGAAAUCAUGCCAUUUGCAGCAGCAUGGCUAGAUCUAGAGAUUAUCAUACUAAGACAGAGAAAUACAAAUACAUGAUAUCACUUAUAUGAGGAGUCUUUAAAAAUGAUGCAAAUGAACUUAUAAAUAAGAAACCUUUGGUUACCAAAGGGGAACUUGGGAGGAAGGGAUAAGUUAGGAAUUUGGGGUUAACAGAUAUACUACUAUAUAUAAAAUAGAUACACAACAAGGACCUAUUGGAUAGUAUAGGGAACUAUAUUCAAUAUCUUGUAAUAACCUAUAAUGGAAAAGAAUCUGUGAAAGAAUAUGCGUAUAUAUAUUAUAUAACUGAGUCAUUUUGCUGUACAUCUGUAACUUAAAUCCACUAUACUUCAAU
Molecule: long non-coding RNA, 1762 nt
Filed under: Sus scrofa (pig)
Lineage: Eukaryota; Metazoa; Chordata; Mammalia; Artiodactyla; Suidae
Description: lncRNA (ENSSSCG00000060703.1)
Source: RNAcentral